RNAcentral lists this ribosomal RNA (164 nucleotides) under Chrysosplenium axillare. RNAcentral describes it as "5.8S ribosomal RNA". It matches the Rfam family "5.8S ribosomal RNA". Rfam says of the family: 5.8S ribosomal RNA (5.8S rRNA) is a component of the large subunit of the eukaryotic ribosome. It is transcribed by RNA polymerase I as part of the 45S precursor that also contains 18S and 28S rRNA. The record is from RNAcentral. Lineage: Eukaryota; Viridiplantae; Streptophyta; Magnoliopsida; Saxifragales; Saxifragaceae.
UUAAUGACUCUCGGCAACGGAUAUCUCGGCUCUCGCAUCGAUGAAGAACGUAGCGAAAUGCGAUACUUGGUGUGAAUUGCAGAAUCCCGUGAACCAUCGAGUUUUUGAACGCAAGUUGCGCCCAAAGCCUUUUGGUUGAGGGCACGUCUGCCUGGGCGUCACGU